UACGUAGGGGGCAAGCGUUGUCCGGAUUCAUUGGGCGUAAAGAGCGUGUAGGCGGCCAGGUAGAUCGGUUGUGAAAACUGGAGGCUCAACCUUCAGAGGUCGACCGAAACCAUCUGGCUAGAGUCCGGGAGAGGAGAGUGGAAUUCCUGGUGUAGCGGUGAAAUGCGCAGAUAUCAGGAAGAACACCCGUGGCGAAAGCGGCUCUCUGGAACGGUACUGACGCUGAGACGCGAAAGCGUGGGGAGCGAACAGG
RNAcentral lists this ribosomal RNA (253 nucleotides) under uncultured bacterium. RNAcentral's name for it is "partial 16S ribosomal RNA". It matches the Rfam family "Bacterial small subunit ribosomal RNA", at positions 524 to 776 of the family's 1533-position model. The record is from RNAcentral.